Molecule: ribosomal RNA, 1726 nt
Filed under: human oral metagenome
Description: bacterial LSU rRNA
Rfam family: Bacterial large subunit ribosomal RNA
Source: RNAcentral
UAUAAAUCAUUAAGUGCAAGUGGUAGGAGAGCGUUCCAAUCAGCGUCGAAGCCGUACCGGUAAGGAGCGGUGGAGCGGUUGGAAGUGAGCAUGCAGGCAUGAGUAGCGAUAAAAUACGUGAGAAUCGUAUUCGCCGUAAACCCAAGGUUUCCUACGCGAUGCUCGUCAUCGUAGGGUUAGUCGGGUCCUAAGCAAAGUCCGAAAGGGGUAUGCGAUGGAAAAUCGGUUAAUAUUCCGAUACCGAUAUCAGUGUGCGACGGAAGGACGCUUAAAGUUAGUGGAGCUAGCGGAUGGAAGUGCUAGUCUAAGGAAGUAGGUUGAGUUAUAGGCAAAUCCGUAACUCUUUAUCCGAGAUCUGAAAGGCUUCUGACGCUCUUCGGAGUAGAUGAAGAAUCCAUGAUACUAUCGAGCCGAGAAAAGUUUCUAAGUUUAGCUGAUAUCGCCCGUACCGUAAACCGACACAGGUGGGUGGGAUGAGUAUUCUAAGGCGCGUGGAAGAACUCUCUUUAAGGAACUCUGCAAAAUAGCACCGUAUCUUCGGUAUAAGGUGUGCCUAGCUUCGUUAAGAAUUUACUUCGUAAGCGAAGAAGGUUACAACAAAGAGUCCCUCCCGACUGUUUACCAUAAACACAGCACUCUGCUAACUCGUAAGAGGAUGUAUAGGGUGUGACGCCUGCCCGGUGCUCGAAGGUUAAUUGAUGAUGUUAGCUUACGCAAAGCAUCUGAUCGAAGCCCGAGUAAACGGCGGCCGUAACUAUAACGGUCCUAAGGUAGCGAAAUUCCUUGUCGGUUAAAUACCGACCUGCAUGAAUGGCGUAACGAGAUGGGAGCUGUCUCAAAGAGGGAUCCAGUGAAAUUGUAGUGGAGGUGAAAAUUCCUCCUACCCGCGGCAAGACGGAAAGACCCCGUGGACCUUUACUAUAGCUUGACACUGCUACUUGGAUAAAGAUGCGCAGGAUAGGUGGGAGGCUUUGAGUCGUAGAUCUCGGUUUACGAUGAGCCAUUGUUGAGAUACCACUCUUCUUUAUUCGGGUAGCUAACUAGCCUAAGUUAUCCUUAGGUAGGACAAUGUCUGGUGGGUAGUUUGACUGGGGCGGUCGCCUCCCAAAAUGUAACGGAGGCUUACAAAGGUUGGCUCAAAGCGGUUGGAAAUCGCUUGCAGAGUAUAAAGGCAAAAGCCAGCUUAACUGCGAGACAUACACGUCGAGCAGAGACGAAAGUCGGUCUUAGUGAUCCGGUGGUUCUGUGUGGAAGGGCCAUCGCUCAAAGGAUAAAAGGUACCCCGGGGAUAACAGGCUGAUCUCCCCCAAGAGCUCACAUCGACGGGGAGGUUUGGCACCUCGAUGUCGGCUCAUCGCAUCCUGGGGCUGGAGCAGGUCCCAAGGGUAUGGCUGUUCGCCAUUUAAAGCGGUACGCGAGCUGGGUUCAGAACGUCGUGAGACAGUUCGGUCCCUAUCUGCCGUGGGCGUAAGAAGAUUGAGGAGAGUUGACCCUAGUACGAGAGGACCGGGUUGAACCGACCACUGGUGUACCGGUUGUUCUGCCAAGAGCACCGCCGGGUAGCUAAGUCGGGAUGCGAUAAGAGCUGAAAGCAUCUAAGCUCGAAGCCGACUCCAAGAUGAAUCUUCUUUUAAGAGCUCUAGUAGACUACUAGUUUGAUAGGCCGGAUGUGUAAUGGAUGAAAGUCCUUUAGCUGACCGGUACUAAUAGCUCGUUUGCUUAUCUU